GAUGAAGAACGUAGCGAAAUGCGAUAAGUAAUGUGAAUUGCAGAAUUCAGUGAAUCAUCGAGUCUUUGAACGCACAUUGCGCCCCCUGGUAUUCCGGGGGGCAUGCCUGUCCGAGCGUCAUUGCCGCCCUCAAGCACGGCUUGUGUGUUGGGCCCCCGCCCCCCGGCUUCGGGGGGCGGGCCCGAAAGGCAGCGGCGGCACCGCGUCCGGUCCUCGAGCAUAUGGGGCUUCGUCACCCGCUCUGUAGGCCCGGCCGGCGCCCGCCGGCGACCCCAAUCAAUCUUUCCAGGUUGACCUCGGAUCAGGUAGGGAUACCCGCUGAACUUAAGCAUAUCAAUAAGCGGAGGA
Molecule: unclassified non-coding RNA, 348 nt
Filed under: soil metagenome
Description: partial contains 5.8S ribosomal RNA, internal transcribed spacer 2, and large subunit ribosomal RNA
Rfam family: 5.8S ribosomal RNA (bases 1-120)
Source: RNAcentral